Molecule: transfer RNA, 77 nt
Filed under: Vibrio sp.
Lineage: Bacteria; Pseudomonadati; Pseudomonadota; Gammaproteobacteria; Vibrionales; Vibrionaceae
Also listed under: 2 other names
Description: tRNA-Val
Rfam family: tRNA
About the family: Transfer RNA (tRNA) molecules are approximately 80 nucleotides in length. Their secondary structure includes four short double-helical elements and three loops (D, anti-codon, and T loops).
Source: RNAcentral
GGGUCUUUAGCUCAGUUGGUUAGAGUACUUGCAUGACAUGCAAGGUGUCGGCAGUUCGAGUCUGCCAAGACCCACCA